This 61-nucleotide transfer RNA is filed under the name Linepithema humile (Argentine ant). RNAcentral's name for it is "tRNA-Leu". Lineage: Eukaryota; Metazoa; Arthropoda; Insecta; Hymenoptera; Formicidae. The record is from RNAcentral.
UUAUAAUUGGAUGAGAGUAAAUAUUAUUAGCUAUAAAUAUGAGUAUUAAAAUUAUUAUAAU